GGACUACUAGGGUUUCUAAUCCUGUUUGCUCCCCACGCUUUCGCGCCUCAGCGUCAGUAUCGGUCCAGAGAGCCGCCUUCGCCACCGGUGUUCUUCCCAAUAUCUACGAAUUUCACCUCUACACUGGGAAUUCCACUCUCCUCUCCCGAACUCCAGCUUGGGAGUAUCGAGCGCCAUUCCCGGGUUGAGCCCGGGGCUUUCACGCCCAACUUCCCAUGCCGCCUGCGCGCCCUUUACGCCCAGUAAUUCCGAACAACGCUAGCCCCCUUCGUAUUACCGCGGCUGCUGGCAC
RNAcentral lists this ribosomal RNA (292 nucleotides) under uncultured bacterium. Its description in RNAcentral is "partial 16S ribosomal RNA". The record is from RNAcentral.